RNAcentral lists this long non-coding RNA (3743 nucleotides) under Salmo salar (Atlantic salmon). RNAcentral describes it as "lncRNA (ENSSSAG00000087651.1)". Lineage: Eukaryota; Metazoa; Chordata; Actinopteri; Salmoniformes; Salmonidae. The record is from RNAcentral.
GUGGCUGUCUGGUCACUACUGAGAGACUGUCGGUGGCUGUCUGGUCAUUACUGAGAGAAUGUCGGUGGCUGGCCAUCCUGUCUGGUCACUACUGAGAGACUGUCGGUGGCUGGCCAUCCUGUCUGCACUAUGUGUGCAAAGCUGUCAUCAAGGCAAAGGGUGGCUACUUUGAAGAAUCUAAAAUAUAUUUUGAUUUGUUUAACGUUUUUUUGGUUACUACAUGAUUCCAUGUGUUAUUUCAUAGUUUUGAAGUCUUCACUAUUAUUUUACAAUGUAGAAAAUAGUUAAAAAAAAAACUGGAAUGAGUAGUUUUGUCCAAACUUUUGACUGGUACUGUAUAUGGACAAAAUCAUCAUGGUGCUUUUUGAUGCCAAGUUUACAAACAUUGGUUGUGGUAAGUAUAAUAUAAACUUUGGUAUCAUUAUGGUAAGGCGGGAAUUAAGUAUAGCCAGUUAUUGCUUAGCAGAUCAUUAAAAUAAAAGAGAGAAUAUAAUAUCUAUUGUUUUACAGGAAACUCACUCUGUAGAUGAGGUUGGGAGAAAUAUAUUUUGUCGCGGGCUAAGAAACUCAAAAGGUUUGACUGUAUUAACAACAAUGUUUAUAUGAUUGUGCAAACUGAUCGUCAAGGAAGAUGGAUCCUUUUAAAAAUGUUAUUGGACCAAAAACAGAUCUUGAUAAUUAAUCUAUAUGGGCCAAAUGAUCCACACUUAUUAGAAUAUAUAUAUAUAUUGAGCUCACAAGCAACGAAUUAAUCUAUUAUUAUGGUGGGAGAUUUUAAUGCUCUUUUAAGUACAUCCAUGGAUCGUAAAGAAAUCACACUACAGACUAUCACCCUCUUAAUGAAAUCACAAAUAUCAUAAUAUAUUAUGGAGGUUUAAUAUCCUAUCCUAGUGAGAUAUACAUGGAGGUUUAACAUCCUGACCUAGAGAGAUAUACAUGGAGGAGGUUUAAUAGCCUGACCUAGUGAGAUCUACAUGAAGGAGGUUUAAUAUCCUGACCUUGUGAGAUAUACACGGAGGAGGUUUAAUAUCCUGGCCUAGUGAGAUAUACACGGAGGAGGUUUAAUGUCCUGACCUAGUGAGAUAUACACGGAGGAGGUUUAAUAUCCCGACCUAGUGAGAUAUACAUAAAGGUUUAAUAUCCUGACCUAGUGAGAUAUACACAGAAGUUUAAUAUCCUGACCUAGUGAGAUAUACACGGAGGAGGUUUAAUAUCCUGACCUAGUGAGAUAUACAUGGAGGAGGUUUAAUAUCCUGACCUAGUGAGAUAUACAUGGAGGAGGCUUAAUAUCCUGUUUUUAACAACCUGUUUUUAACGAAGACAACAUUAUUUAUAAUUGACUUUUUUCUGCACAACAUAUGUACAGCACAUCCCCUCAUUGUAUGGGACACUUUCAAAUGUACUUUUAGAGGCCAUUCAAUACAAUACUCAUCAUUAAAACAAAAGCAAAUUAGAGGCACAACAUACUGUAGGUUAUAGGAAAUAACAGCAGGGAGAUAGUAAUGGUAACUACUAUAGAGGCACAAAAUAGGUUAUAGGAAAAACAAAAGGAAUUGGGGGGACUUAAAAGCGAAUUGGAUGGUAAAUGAUGAAAAAUGCACAAAAUUAUUUUUUUAUCUUCAACAUCAAAAUGCUAUGAAAAAGAGUUUACAGAAACUCGUUACAAAUGUUGGAGUCAUCCAUGAUUCACCAAAUUAUACUAUACUUUGAAAUAGGAAGCUAAAUAUUUUAAGCGUAUCAUUUAUUCAGUCUCCACUGAAUGAUUUUAACUGUAAGGAUUUAUUUCCUAAUAAUAAUGUAGAAUUAACAAAUGUACAGAAAGAUUAAAUAUUUUCAGUCUGGAAAAACACCAGGGCUUGACAGUAUACCAGUAGAGGUAUAUCAGACCUUUUUUGAUGUACUCAAAUAUCCAUUAUUAGCAUGUUUUAAUUACUCCUAUAAAAAUGGCAGACUUUCAGGUACUCAACAAGGUCUGAUUUCAUUACUACUGAAACAGGACCCUUGUGGUAAGGUAUAAAGAUCCAGUCCAUUUAAACAACUGGAGACCUCUAAUGCUUCAAUGUUGUGAUGUGAAAAUCCUGGCGAGAUGAAAAGCACAUAGAACAAAACAGGUUUUUACCAGAUAUUGUUCAUCCUGAUCAGACAGGUUUUUUACAUUGACAAUAUAUUGGAGAUAUUAUUAGACAAUUACUUGAAACAAUUGAGCAUUAUGAAACAUCAAAGAUACCAGGCCUGGUCUUCAUAGCAGAUUUCGAAAAGGCAUUUGAUAAAGUAAGUCUAAAAUGUAUAUAUAAAUGCCUGGACUACUUUAAUAUCAGUGAAUCUCUUAUACAAUGGGUUAAAGUUAUGUACAGCAACCCCAGGUGUAAAAUAGUCUCAGAAAGUAUUGAGCUUUUAAGAGGAGUAAAACAAGGUUGUCCGUUGUCGCCAUAUCUAUUUAUUAUGGUCAUUGAAAUGCUAGAUAUUAAAAUUAGAUCCAACAAGAACAUUAAGGGGUUAGAAAUCCAGGGUUAAAAACAAGUGUCAAUGUAUGCCGAUUUUAGUUUUUUUCUUAAGUCCACAAUCUGGAUCCCUGCACAGUCUCAUUAAAGAUCAUGUUUCUAGCCUCUGGACUAAAACCUAAUUAUGACAAGUAUAUCAUAUUACGCGUUGGAUCGUUAAAAUACGGUGUUUACACUGCUUUGCAGUUUACCAAUAAAAUGGGCGGAUGGUGAAGUAGACAUACUUGGUAUUCAUAACUCAAAAAAUGUUAAUGAGUUUGGUUGUGUUAAUGUCAAUAGAAUGUUUUCAAAAAUAGAUACAAUUCUGCAAACAUGGAGAGGUAAAUACUUGCUUAUUUAUGGAAAAAUCACAUUGAUUCACUUGUUGGUCCUAUCAGUUGACUUACUUACUAAUUGCACAGCCUACUCCAGACAAUCUUUUUUUAAUCAUAUGAGCAAAACAAAUAUUUCACUUAUUUGAAAUGCUAUGCCAGACCAAAUUAAACGUACCUAUUUAUGAGUUUGAGGGCCUAAAAUCAUUAAAUAUUGAUUAAAUAUUAAACCUCACUAAAGGAUUCACUCAUAAGUUAUACUUAAACCCCAAAUUGUUCUCCAGUAGAUUAUUAAGAAAGGCUCAUUUAUUGAAAAAUGACUUUUUGCGUUUAAACAGAUUACAACUUCUAAUUUCUGACUAAUUGAAAAUGAAACUUUGUUUUAAGUAUCAUCCUUUCUUAAACAAGCCAUACAAAGCUGGUUACAAUUUCAAUGUUAUCCUACAGAAGAGAUGGAACAAAUAUUAUGGUUAAACUGAAAUAUACUGAUUGAUUUAAAAAAAAAAAACGUUCUUUAUGGAUAAAAAAAAAGGUAUAUUUAUUAAUGAUAUUAUGAGUAGAAACAGAGGAGUUGUGUCAUAUGCAGCUAUCGAAAAUACAUGGGAAAUUCUGCUCAAUACAAAAAUGGCAAGUGGAAAAGGGCAAAGGUAGGGAACUUGUUUGCCUGCCAUAUAUUAAAGAUACAUAUUGGCUGAAAGGAACUGGCAUAAAUAGAAAAGUAUACCAGUUUCAUCUGAGGACAAAAAUGUUGACAGCUGCGUCAUUCAGGUUGUAAAAUAGUUGAGAAGAGAUUUCUGAUGUUUAAAAAAAUAAAUAAUGUAACCUUUAUUUAACUACGCAAGUCAGUUAAGAACAAAUUCUUAUUUACAAUGUCGGCCUUUACAAUGUACCGAUUCCUGACACUUGAUUCAAUUAAUAUUCAACAUUCUUG